UCCCUUCUAGCUCAGUCGGUAGAGUCUGCCUGCAAUGCAGGAGACCCAGGUUCGAUCCCUGGGUUGGGAA
Molecule: transfer RNA, 70 nt
Filed under: Ovis aries (sheep)
Lineage: Eukaryota; Metazoa; Chordata; Mammalia; Artiodactyla; Bovidae
Rfam family: tRNA
About the family: Transfer RNA (tRNA) molecules are approximately 80 nucleotides in length.
Source: Rfam by way of RNAcentral